UCACGAUACUAAGAGCGUAUGGGGGAUGCCUAGGCUCUCAGAGGCGAUGAAAGACGUGUCAAGCUGCGAAAAGCUACGGGGAGCUGCUGAAAGGCUUAGAUCCGUAGAUAUCUGAAUGGGGCAACCCACCCUUCGGGGUAUCCGUGAGGAGGCAAACCCGCUGAACUGAAACAUCUAAGUAGGCGGAGGAAGAGAAAACAAAAGUGAUUUCGUAAGUAGUGGCGAGCGAACGCGAAGAAGCCCAAACCGAAGACGUUGAGGCGUUUUCGGGGUUGUAGGACUGAAUUUAGCAAACAAUAGCGAACUAGAACGGCAUGGGAAGGCCGGGCGCAGAGGGUGAGACCCCCGUAUAGGCAGUGAUUUGUUGUGAUCAGUAUCCUGAGUACCGCGGGACCGGAGAAAUCCUGUGGGAAACUGCCAGCACCAUCUGGUAAGGCUAAAUACUCCUGAGAGACCAAUAGCGAACUAGUACCGUGAGGGAAAGGUGAAAAGAACCUUGAGUAAAGGAGUGAAAAGAACCUGAAACCAUACGUUUACAAGCGGUCGGAGUGGACAAGUUCCACGACGGCGUGCCUUUUGCAUAAUGAGCCUACGAGUUGCACCUCUUUGGCAAGGUUAAUUCCAUGGAUGGAAGGAGCCGAAGCGAAAGCGAGUCUGAAUAGGGCGUAGAGUCAGAGGGGGCAGACGCGAAACUUUGUGAUCUACCCUUGGCCAGGUUGAAAGUGUGGUAACACACACUGGAGGACCGCACCAAUAAGCGUUGAAAAGCUUCUGGAUGAGCUGAGGGUAGGGGUGAAAGGCCAAUCAAACUGAGAGAUAGCUCGUACUCCCCGAAAUGUUUUUAGGAACAGCCUCGAGGUAGAGUGUCGCAGAGGUAGAGCUACUGAUAGGGCUAGGGGGCUUCACCGCCUACCAAACCCUGACAAACUCCGAAUGCUGACGACAUAUACUCGGGAGUGAGCCGCAGGGUGCUAAGGUCCUGUGGCGAGAGGGAAAGAACCCAGACCAACAGCUAAGGUCCCAAAAUCACAGUUAAGUUGAACUAACGAGGUCCAACUGCAUAGACAGCUAGGAUGUUUGCUUGGAAGCAGCAAUUCAUUUAAAGAGUGCGUAACAGCUCACUAGUCGAGCGGUAGGGCGUGGAUAAUAAACGGGCAUAAAACUGUGUACCGAAGCUUUGGAUUCCUACGGGAGUGGUAGGGGAGCAUUCUGCAUGCGGUGAAGGACAAGGCGUGAGCCACUCUGGAGCGUGUAGAAAAGCAAAUGUAGGCAUGAGUAACGAUAAGACAGGCGAGAAACCUGUCCACCGCAAGACUAAGGUUUCCUGGACGAUGCUAAUCAGGCCAGGGUUAGUCGGGACCUAAGGAUAAUCCGAAGGGAGAGAUCUGAUGGACAACGGGUUAAUAAUCCCGUACCGCAUCAACUGCGAAGGAGGGACGAAGGAGUGAAAGCUACGCGAACUGACGGAAUAGUUCGUUUAAGUGCAAAGGUAAAGGCUGGGGAGGCAAAUCCCCCCGGACUGCUGAAGCAUGAAAGUACCGCGAGUUUACGGACGAGUGGAUAGUUAGCCUAAUCAGACUUCCGAGAAAAACUUCUAAGCUUCAGGUUGAUGUGCCCGUACCGCAAACCGACACAGGUAGUCGAGGAGAGUAUCCUAAGGUGCUCGAGUGAAUCAUGGCUAAGGAACUCGGCAAAUUCGUCCUGUAACUUCGGGAGAAAGGACCCCUACGCAAGUAGGGCGCAGUGAAUAGGCUCAAGCAACUGUUUAACAAAAACACAUGGCUAUGCUAAAUCGAAAGAUGAUGUAUAUGGCCUGACACCUGCCCGGUGCUGGAAGGUUAAAAGGAGAUGUUAUGCGCAAGCAGAAGCAUUGAAUUGAAGCCCCAGUAAACGGCGGCCGUAACAAUAACGGUCCUAAGGUAGUGAAAUUCCUUGUUGGGUAAGCUCCGACCUGCACGAAUGGUGUAAUGAUUUGAGCACUGUCUCAGCCAUGAGCUCGGUGAAAUUGUAGUAGCGGUGAAGAUGCCGCUUACCCGCAACGGGACGGAAAGACCCCGUGCACCUUUACUAUAGCUUCGCAUUGACUUUGGGUAAUUGAUGUGUAGGAUAGGUGGGAGACUUUGAAGCGGUGGCGCCAGCCAUCGUGGAGUCAACCUUGAAAUACCACCCUUUAAUUAUUUGAAGUCUAAUCCCGCUGAGCGGGAGACAUUGCGUGGUGGGUAGUUUGACUGGGGUGGUCGCCUCCAAAAAAGUAUCGGAGGCUUUCAAAGGUACCCUCAACACGCUUGGUAACCGUGUGUAGAGUGCAAUAGCAUAAGGGUGCUUGACUGUGAGACCGACAAGUCGAGCAGGGUCGAAAGACGGAUAUAGUGAUCCGGUGGUUCCGCAUGGAAGGGCCAUCGCUCAUAGGAUAAAAGGUACGCCGGGGAUAACAGGCUGAUCACUCCCAAGAGCUCACAUCGACGGAGUGGUUUGGCACCUCGAUGUCGGCUCGUCACAUCCUGGGGCUGGAGAAGGUCCCAAGGGUUCGGCUGUUCGCCGAUUAAAGUGGC
RNAcentral lists this ribosomal RNA (2552 nucleotides) under freshwater metagenome. RNAcentral describes it as "bacterial LSU rRNA". It matches the Rfam family "Bacterial large subunit ribosomal RNA", at positions 1 to 2597 of the family's 2925-position model. The record is from RNAcentral.